Non-coding RNA from Chiloscyllium plagiosum (whitespotted bambooshark), 836 nucleotides. NCBI's taxonomy places the organism in Eukaryota, Metazoa, Chordata, Chondrichthyes, Orectolobiformes, Hemiscylliidae. The record is from RefSeq and is a predicted model, not a curated record.
UCGCCGGUUGGUCAAUGUCGUGACGAUAGCAGCACAUUGCGCUGUCAAUCACCGUCUCCACCGACCUUCCAGCCCUAGUUACCCCCCCCAAAAAAAAACUAAGAACCCGUGCUCAAUUCUUGCAGCUGCAAUGUUGGCAAGAAGUGGUUGUUCACUGUUCCGGCAUGUUGGCUAUGGCAUUUGUAAAACUGAAUAUCUUCAGAUUGUGACCACUGCUGUUGUAGCAUUGUAGUAUAUUAUAUUAUGUGAAACAGCAGUGCCCACCUUAUAAGCAUAUUAUAAUAUACAGCUAAAUUAAGUCUUCAGGUGACCACUGCUGCCACCAUUCUAUAAUGGUGGAAUUGCCCAAAAAAAUCCAAUCCACAUGGCAGAACAUUUUGCACCCUGGAGAUGGCACACUGGGGAAAUAAAUGGAGUCAGUAACAAGCCGGCAUGGCAUUUUGGUGAUUAGUGCUACCAUCUAACAGUGACCCACUGCUAUUGACAUUGAUUUCAAGUGCUACUUAAAGGAGCCACUCACUAUUUCAUGACCACUGAUGCUGGAACUUUAAGGACCGAUGAAACACAGUGGGAUAUUGACUAAGAAUGCCAACAAAGCCUCAUGCUUGUCUAGCCUCCUGGGCAAAUGGAUUACUCUGUCUAAACGUACCAUAUUAAUAAAUAACCCCAGAUGGAAGAAACUUCUGUCAGACAGCCCCAAACUGGAACUGUGAAGACAAGAAAUCAGUUAACUGCUGGAUCCCAAUAACAGAGAGCAUCUCAAGGGAAGCCUACAAGAAAAUGGAAGACCCAAAUUCCUGGAUGAUCGCCUCCAAAUAAAAAAAAACUUUGCAAAA